Molecule: long non-coding RNA, 346 nt
Filed under: Hordeum vulgare
Lineage: Eukaryota; Viridiplantae; Streptophyta; Magnoliopsida; Poales; Poaceae
Description: long non-coding RNA (HVUL_LNC020735)
Source: RNAcentral
GACCAUCUUGCAGCCAGUGCUGGUGGUGAGCAUCGACACCAGACCCACGACGGUGCCGCUGAUGCAGCCGUGCUUGGUCCGACGCCCCAAGUGAGCACGCCGACCGCCUAAUCAGCCUAUCAAGCUCCUGUUCCAAGGUAGUUUGCACAUCAGUCUUCUCAUUCUCCAGGCUUCUAGUUCUAGAGUCUAAUUCUACCUUGGAUUGCUUAUAUUGCUCUUUGGCUGCAAACCUUUCUUUAAGACGUUCCUUAAUCUAUGAAGAUAGUUCGAGUGCCAAUUGUUUUCUGUCUUCGAUCAAGAUGAGAACCAGCUGCAUAAUGUCAGUUGAGUUCAAUCAGGAACGCUG